RNAcentral lists this ribosomal RNA (261 nucleotides) under uncultured bacterium. RNAcentral describes it as "partial 16S ribosomal RNA". It matches the Rfam family "Bacterial small subunit ribosomal RNA", at positions 15 to 272 of the family's 1533-position model. The record is from RNAcentral.
GAUCAUGGCUCAGGAUGAACGCUAGCUACAGGCUUAACACAUGCAAGUCGAGGGGCAGCAUGACCUAGCAAUAGGUUGAUGGCGACCGGCGCACGGGUGAGUAACACGUAUCCAACCUACCGGUUAUUCCGGGAUAGCCUUUCGAAAGAAAGAUUAAUACCGGAUAGUAUAACGAGAAGGCAUCUUUUUGUUAUUAAAGAAUUUCGAUAACCGAUGGGGAUGCGUUCCACUAGUUUGUUGGCGGGGUAACGGCCCACCAAG